Molecule: long non-coding RNA, 294 nt
Filed under: Salvia miltiorrhiza (redroot sage)
Lineage: Eukaryota; Viridiplantae; Streptophyta; Magnoliopsida; Lamiales; Lamiaceae
Description: long non-coding RNA (SMIL_LNC009770)
Source: RNAcentral
AAAGAGAGGGAGAGAGAGGAUAGGGUAGAAGCGCCGGAGAACAUGGCACCGCCGCUGGAGCCCUAAGAAGCGCCGCCGCUGGAGGAUUGCCCGCUGGAAAACGCCGUGCUGCUGGAGUACCGCCUAUGGAGGAAGGAACGUCGUCGCUGCCGCUGGAGAGAAAGGGUGGCCGCCGCUACAUUCAAUUUCUGGGGGAGAGAACGGCAGGGAGAAACCGCAGGGAGAACGGCAGGGAGAAAGCCAUUCAAAUUCUGAUGUUUUUUUCUUUAAUUAGGUUUUCUAUUUUUGUUUUUU